GUUACAGAUGAUGCUGUUGUGACAAGAAUUCUAAAUUGACCAUUUGAGGCAGAAAAUGUGUUCUUUAAUUGACAAACAGGCAUACAGUAAGAUGUGGACUGGAGACAGAGGCUGGAUUGGAUACUGUAUAUAAUCUUGAAUGUUGUAAUGAUUGACUGCUAUACAUUACAUUUAUAGUAUUCUGAUAUGCUUUCAAUAUGUUAUCAAAACAGUUUUAAACAGGUUCUAGGCAUUUUUUUUAUCAGAAAAUAUGCAAAUGGGGUAAGCUGGCAAUAAUUAAAGUCUUGUUUUCAAAUUCUUUAAAAAAUUGAAACAGGGGAGGGGG
This 325-nucleotide long non-coding RNA is filed under the name Mytilus galloprovincialis (Mediterranean mussel). The record is from RNAcentral. Lineage: Eukaryota; Metazoa; Mollusca; Bivalvia; Mytilida; Mytilidae.